GUUAGGUUUUCUUCUUCUCCUCCUUUUUAAUUUUUUUUCUCGCUUUUUUCAACCUAAUUAGGAUUAAUUGCUCUAAGUGGUUCUUUAUGUUUAUUUCUUGGUGGAAAGUCGAAGCAAAUGAUGGGAACCAGGAAUUCUUGAUUUUUUUUUUUUGCAAAUUUUGUAGGAAUAUGUGCUGGAUUUUCCUUUUUCUUUCUUGAAAUGAUUUGUAUUUGACAAUUGGUUGCUU
This 229-nucleotide long non-coding RNA is filed under the name Elaeis guineensis (African oil palm). Its description in RNAcentral is "long non-coding RNA (EGUI_LNC004777)". Lineage: Eukaryota; Viridiplantae; Streptophyta; Magnoliopsida; Arecales; Arecaceae. The record is from RNAcentral.